UUGGAACAACCGUUUUAUCCA
RNAcentral lists this non-coding RNA (21 nucleotides) under Caenorhabditis elegans. The record is from RNAcentral. Lineage: Eukaryota; Metazoa; Nematoda; Chromadorea; Rhabditida; Rhabditidae.